AGCAAGGUGGCAGAAAGCUUUAUGCGUUAGAUUGUAAAUUUAUUAAUAAAGGUUUGAUUCCUUUUCUUGUUA
RNAcentral lists this transfer RNA (72 nucleotides) under Distolasterias nipon. RNAcentral describes it as "tRNA-Tyr". It matches the Rfam family "tRNA". From Rfam's summary of the family: Transfer RNA (tRNA) molecules are approximately 80 nucleotides in length. Their secondary structure includes four short double-helical elements and three loops (D, anti-codon, and T loops). The record is from RNAcentral. Lineage: Eukaryota; Metazoa; Echinodermata; Asteroidea; Forcipulatida; Asteriidae.